Molecule: ribosomal RNA, 441 nt
Filed under: uncultured bacterium
Lineage: Bacteria
Description: bacterial SSU rRNA
Rfam family: Bacterial small subunit ribosomal RNA
Source: RNAcentral
CCUANGGGUGGCAGCAGUAGGGAAUAUUGCACAAUGGGCGAAAGCCUGAUGCAGCAACGCCGCGUGCACGAUGAAGGCCUUCGGGUCGUAAAGUGCUUUUCUGGGAGAUGAGAAAGGACAGUAUCCCAGGAAUAAGUCUCGGCUAACUACGUGCCAGCAGCCGCGGUAAAACGUAGGAGGCGAGCGUUAUCCGGAUUCACUGGGCGUAAAGCGCGUGCAGGUGGCUUGGUAAGUUGGGCGUGAAAUCUCCCGGCUCAACUGGGAGAGGUCGUCCAAUACUACCGAGCUAGAGAGCAGAAGAGGAAGAUGGAAUUCCCGGUGUAGUGGUGAAAUGCGUAGAUAUCGGGAGGAACACCAGUGGCGAAGGCGAUCUUCUGGUCUGUUUCUGACACUCAGACGCGACAGCUAGGGUAGUAAACGGGAUUAGAUACCUCUNUANUC